UAGCAUAUCAAUAAGCGGAGGAAAAGAAACCAACCGGGAUUGCCUUAGUAACGGCGAGUGAAGCGGCAAAAGCUCAAAUUUGAAAUCUGGUACCUUUGGUGCCCGAGUUGUAAUUUGUAGAAGGCAACUUUGGGGCUGGUCCUUGUCUAUGUUCCUUGGAACAGGACGUCAUAGAGGGUGAGAAUCCCGUGUGGCGAGGAAUCCAGUCCUUUGUAAAGUGCUUUCGAAGAGUCGAGUUGUUUGGGAAUGCAGCUCUAAGUGGGUGGUAAAUUCCAUCUAAAGCUAAAUAUUGGCGAGAGACCGAUAGCGAACAAGUACAGUGAUGGAAAGAUGAAAAGAACUUUGAAAAGAGAGUGAAAAAGUACGUGAAAUUGUUGAAAGGGAAGGGCAUUUGAUCAGACAUGGUGUUUUGCGCCCCUUACCUCUCGUGGGUGAGGGAAUCUCGCAGUUCACUGGGCCAACAUCAGUUUUGGUGGCAGGAUAAAUCUAUAGGAACGUAACUUGCUUCGGGAAGUAUUAUAGCCUAUGGGAAUACUGCCAACCGGGACUGAGGACUGCGACUUUUGUCAAGGAUGUUGGCAUAAUGGUUAUAUGCCGCCCGUCUUGAAACACGGACCAAGGAGUCUAACGUCUAUGCAAGUGUUUGGGUGUAAAACCCGUACGCGUAAUGAAAGUGAACGUAGGUUGGGGCCUCGCAAGAGGUGCACAAUCGACCGAUCCUGAUGUUUUCAGAUGGAUUUGAGUAAGAGCAUAGCUGUUGGGACCCGAAAGAUGGUGAACUAUGCCUGAAUAGGGUGAAGCCAGAGGAAACUCUGGUGGAGGCUCGUAGCGGUUCUGACGUGCAAAUCGAUCGUCGAAUUUGGGUAUAGGGGCGAAAGACUAAUCGAACCAUCUAGUAGCUGGUUCCUGCG
RNAcentral lists this ribosomal RNA (911 nucleotides) under Vanderwaltozyma yarrowii. RNAcentral's name for it is "LSU rRNA". It matches the Rfam family "Eukaryotic large subunit ribosomal RNA", at positions 36 to 962 of the family's 3401-position model. The record is from RNAcentral. Lineage: Eukaryota; Fungi; Ascomycota; Saccharomycetes; Saccharomycetales; Saccharomycetaceae.